CCUACGGGACGCAGCAGUAGGGAAUCUUCCACAAUGGACGAAAGUCUGAUGGAGCAACGCCGCGUGAGUGAAGAAGGGUUUCGGCUCGUAAAGCUCUGUUGGUAGUGAAGAAAGAUAGAGGUAGUAACUGGCCUUUAUUCGACGGUAAUUACUUAGAAAGUCACGGCUAACUACGUGCCAGCAGCCGCGGUAAUACGUAGGUGGCAAGCGUUGUCCGGAUUUAUUGGGCGUAAAGCGAGUGCAGGCGGGUCCAAAAAGCUUAUGUGAAAGCCUUCCGGUCAAACGGAGAAAUGGAUCAGAAACAG
RNAcentral lists this ribosomal RNA (305 nucleotides) under uncultured bacterium. RNAcentral describes it as "bacterial SSU rRNA". It matches the Rfam family "Bacterial small subunit ribosomal RNA", at positions 338 to 635 of the family's 1533-position model. The record is from RNAcentral.